RNAcentral lists this ribosomal RNA (396 nucleotides) under Triticum aestivum (bread wheat). Its description in RNAcentral is "partial small subunit ribosomal RNA". Lineage: Eukaryota; Viridiplantae; Streptophyta; Magnoliopsida; Poales; Poaceae. The record is from RNAcentral.
GCAAAGUAUGUGGCUUCUUGUGGGGUCUGUCAGCUCGUGAAGGCUGAGCAUAAGAGACCCGCGGGUUUGUUGCAGUCCUUAGAGGUUCCAGAGUGGCCAUGGGAUGACGUCGCCAUGGAUUUUGUUGUUGGCCUACCUCGCACCCGAAGGGGAAAGGAUGCAAUUUGGGUGGUGGUGGACGGACUUACCAAAGUGGCUCAUUUUAUUCCUAUCCGUACCACAGACUCGGCAAGUGACUUGGCACCGAUAUAUGUGCGUGAGAUAGUAAGAUUGCACGGAGUUCCAAAAACUAUUACUUCUGACAGAGAUGCCAAGUUUGUAUCAAGGUUCUGGGAGAGCUGGCAGAGUGCAAUGGGUACACAGUUGAGGAUUAGCACGGCAUUUCAUCCCCAAACA